Molecule: ribosomal RNA, 468 nt
Filed under: uncultured bacterium
Lineage: Bacteria
Description: partial 16S ribosomal RNA
Rfam family: Bacterial small subunit ribosomal RNA
Source: RNAcentral
GAUGAACGCUGGCGGCGUGCUUAACACAUGCAAGUCGAACGGAAAGGCCCAAGCUUGCCUGGGUACUCGAUUGGCGAACGGGUGAGUAACACGCGGGUGAUCUGCCCUGCACUUCGGGAUAAGCCUGGGAAACUGGGUCUAAUACCGGAGAGGACGAUGGUUUGGAUGCCGUUGUGGAAAGUUUUUGCGGUGUGGGAUGAGGUCGCGGACUAUCAGCUUGUUGGUGGGGUAUUGGCCUACCAAGGCGUAGACGGGUAGCCGGCCUGAGAGGGUGUACGGCCGCAUUGGACCUGUGAGGGGGGCCGGAGUAGGACGUGAGGCAGCAGUGGCGAAUGUCGGACGGUGGGAGCAAGCGUGAGGGAGGGAGGCCGUGUGAGGGAUGAAGGCCGUCAGGAUGGAAGCACCUAUGGGUAAGGACGAGGGGAUUUUGUGACGGUACCUAGAGAGAAAGCAACGGCUAACUACGUG